CUGUCCAUGAGUCGGAUCUGGCUUUCGGGUCUGGCCUGUUUCAGGCAGUUCUUGGGAUGAAAUACUAGGCCCGAAUGCCUGCGUGGGCCUAAAAUUUUAGCCCGUUUAUUAACAGUCCAGGCCCGAAAUAUUGGGGUGCACUUGAUGGACAGCCCAGAUCUUGUCUAGGUCCGUCAAAAGUUUAAAAUUGUAAACUUGAAGCAUGCAACUUAUGGACUGAUUGGAUAGGGCCCCCAUGAUGAACGGUUCAGAUCAUUGGUCAAAAAUUUCUCUAUCCAUUUUCCUAACCAUUGAUUGAAUUUUUAGAAUUAUCCAUCAAAGGUGGGCCACAUGAUGAAUGGCUUGGAUCUAUGAUUGGACCAUUUUUAUAUUAUAUUUGAUUUCAUGGUGGAACCAAACGCACCCU
This is a long non-coding RNA of Magnolia sinica, 406 nucleotides long. RefSeq lists it as uncharacterized. The record is from RefSeq and is a predicted model, not a curated record. NCBI's taxonomy places the organism in Eukaryota, Viridiplantae, Streptophyta, Magnoliopsida, Magnoliales, Magnoliaceae. The transcript has 2 exons.